This is a long non-coding RNA of Myotis brandtii (Brandt's bat), 98 nucleotides long. RefSeq lists it as uncharacterized. NCBI's taxonomy places the organism in Eukaryota, Metazoa, Chordata, Mammalia, Chiroptera, Vespertilionidae. The record is from RefSeq and is a predicted model, not a curated record. The transcript is spliced from 3 exons.
GGUGGCCUUAAGCAGUAGAAGUCCUAUAGGACCUAGUGGUGCAGACUUCUUGAUCACUUGAGCUGGGUGCUCUAGGAAUAGCGUCUGGAGGGAAAGAG